CCUACGGGGGGCAGCAGUGGGGGAUAUUGCACAAUGGACGAGAGUCUGAACCAGCCAAGUAGCGUGAAGGAUGACUGCCCUAUGGGUUGUAAACUUCUUUUAUAUGGGAAUAAAAUGUUCCACGUGUGGGAUUUUGUAUGUACCAUAUGAAUAAGGAUCGGCUAACUCCGUGCCAGCAGCCGCGGUAAUACGGAGGAUCCGAGCGUUAUCCGGAUUUAUUGGGUUUAAAGGGAGCGUAGGUGGAUUGUUAAGUCAGUUGUGAAAGUUUGCGGCUCAACCGUAAAAUUGCAGUUGAAACUGGCAGUCUUGAGUACAGUAGAGGUGGGCGGAAUUCGUGGUGUAGCGGUGAAAUGCUUAGAUAUCACGAAGAACUCCGAUUGCGAAGGCAGUUCACUGGACUGCAACUGACACUGAGGCUCGAAAGUGUGGGUAUCAAACAGGAUUAGAUACCCCUGUAGUC
RNAcentral lists this ribosomal RNA (460 nucleotides) under uncultured bacterium. RNAcentral's name for it is "partial 16S ribosomal RNA". It matches the Rfam family "Bacterial small subunit ribosomal RNA", at positions 338 to 795 of the family's 1533-position model. The record is from RNAcentral.